CCGUACCUGGCGGUGAAAAUCACCCCUGCCAUCCCUGCAGUCGCUGGCAUCCUGUUCUUCUUUGUGAUGGGGACCCUGCUCCGCACCAGCUUUAGCGACCCCGGAGUCCUCCCACGAGCCACGCCUGAUGAAGCUGCCGAUCUGGAAAGGCAAAUAGAUAUCGCAAACGGCACCAGUUCAGGGGGGUACCGCCCGCCUCCCAGAACCAAAGAAGUCAUCAUCAAUGGCCAGACCGUGAAACUUAAAUACUGUUUCACCUGCAAGAUUUUCCGGCCCCCUCGCGCCUCCCAUUGCAGCCUUUGUGAUAACUGCGUAGAACGGUUUGAUCACCACUGUCCCUGGGUAGGCAACUGUGUGGGGAAAAGAAACUACAGAUUUUUUUAUAUGUUUAUUUUAUCUCUGUCUUUUCUGACAGUCUUUAUAUUUGCAUUCGUUAUCACCCACGUCAUUCUUCGUAAGUAUGCUGGCGAAAUCAGAUUACGUAUGUAACCAUUUGCCUGACUUUGAUUUUCCUAUUUGAUUUUGAUUUAAUAUUUUGGUCAUUUCGGGCUUUCUCUUUCCCUUUCUUUCU
RNAcentral lists this small RNA (571 nucleotides) under Pan troglodytes (chimpanzee). Its description in RNAcentral is "retained intron". The record is from RNAcentral. Lineage: Eukaryota; Metazoa; Chordata; Mammalia; Primates; Hominidae.